RNAcentral lists this unclassified non-coding RNA (211 nucleotides) under uncultured Gammaproteobacteria bacterium. Its description in RNAcentral is "contains 16S-23S intergenic spacer region". The record is from RNAcentral. Lineage: Bacteria; Pseudomonadati; Pseudomonadota; Gammaproteobacteria.
UCCGGUUUGUCACCGGCAGUCUCAUUAGAGUGCUCAACUGAAUGUAGCAACUAAUGACAAGGGUUGCGCUCGUUGCGGGACUUAACCCAACAUCUCACGACACGAGCUGACGACAGCCAUGCAGCACCUGUGUGCAGGUUCUCUUUCGAGCACGAAUCCAUCUCUGGAAACUUCCUGCCAUGUCAAAGGUGGGGAUGACGUAGACCGGACC